UCAACACCACCCACCGCUGGCUCUUGGGCUACUCAACGAAUAAAAGGAUUGACCAUCACAUUAUAACGCCCCCACAACUGAAAGGGCGAGCAUGUUCGAUGACGAGGAUUCGA
Long non-coding RNA from Limulus polyphemus (Atlantic horseshoe crab), 113 nucleotides. RefSeq lists it as uncharacterized. Lineage: Eukaryota; Metazoa; Arthropoda; Merostomata; Xiphosura; Limulidae. The transcript is spliced from 3 exons. The record is from RefSeq and is a predicted model, not a curated record.